AGUACAUGGCUCACGUCCGCAACUUCGCCCAGGGACCUGGGCGGCGGCCACGGCCCGGGUGGAGAACAUAAGCCAUUCACCAUUCUAUUAGAACGAGAAAAUGACACUUUGGGAUUCAAUAUUAUAGGAGGUCGACCAAAUCAGAAUGAUCAAGAAGAAAUAUCAAGAGAAGGAAU
Long non-coding RNA from Myotis lucifugus (little brown bat), 176 nucleotides. RefSeq lists it as uncharacterized. The record is from RefSeq and is a predicted model, not a curated record. The transcript has 3 exons. Lineage: Eukaryota; Metazoa; Chordata; Mammalia; Chiroptera; Vespertilionidae.